Acanthosepion pharaonis is the source of this 112-nucleotide non-coding RNA. Lineage: Eukaryota; Metazoa; Mollusca; Cephalopoda; Sepiida; Sepiidae. The record is from the annotation of a GenBank genome assembly.
ACGGUUAUAUCACGUUAAGUCACCGGUUUUCGUACGAUCACCGAAGUUAAGCAACUUCUAGUCAGGUCAGUACCUAGAUGGGUGACCGUUUAUAAAUACCAGGUGUUGUAAG